GUUAAUGUAGCUUAAACACCAAAGCAAAGCACUGAAAAUGCUUAGAUGAGUAUGUUAACUCCAUAAACA
This 69-nucleotide transfer RNA is filed under the name Okapia johnstoni (okapi). Its description in RNAcentral is "tRNA-Phe". It matches the Rfam family "tRNA". Rfam says of the family: Transfer RNA (tRNA) molecules are approximately 80 nucleotides in length. The record is from RNAcentral. Lineage: Eukaryota; Metazoa; Chordata; Mammalia; Artiodactyla; Giraffidae.